CUAAUGUUCGAAGGCUGGUCAAUCUGGAAAUCCCUAUUGGCAGGUACUCCAACGAAGAAGUUUUAGCAUUCAGUAAACUCCUCAUGUUCAUUAACUUCCCAAUCCCCGCUGGCAAUUCUCUAAGAUUUCGGCACCGCCUAAUAUCUAGCUUUUGUAAAUUAUAUAAUUCACACAAAGUCUCAGGUUGUCUCUCUAUACACAGUCCAGACAAAUUAAGAUAUUUUAAAUGUAUCAAUUUUCCGACAUUUUCUGGAAUUUCUCUAAUCAAAUUUGGGUCAAAAUAAAAAGGAUAAAAAUAUACGAAUGAUUGCCUUAUAACUAAUGUCCUUAAACACGCCAAUUUACUAAAUAACUCCUGAAGGAUACUACUAUUAAGACUCAGAUUGGAAUAACUUUCAUCAUAAAUUAAGAGGCUACGCAAUCUAUCAAAUUCAAAAAAGGACGUAGGAAAUGAAGCACCUCUUUCAAAAUUUAACCCUAAGUGACGGACUUUCUCACCAAAAGAGUUUAUGACUGAUUCUUUGGUACCAUUAAUUUCUAGCCACAAACAUUCUUUGCUACUUACAAAUUGAGCAAAAUCAUGUACUAUGUCAUGCAUCUUGCAACUCAUAAUAUCAUCAUCAUCAUUUUUCUCAAACUCUUGAAAGAAAGAGCGUGCUGCUAAAAUGUUGAAACAUUCUUCCCCAGUAAUGUCCAUCUCUUCAUAUUCUUCUGCAUUAAGGUAACCUUGAGCCAUCCAUAGUGAAAUUAGUUCCUCUUUAUUCAUAUUGUAGUCUUUUGGAAAGACAGCACAAUAUGAGAAACACCGUUUUACCAUAGAAUUGGAGGGCAAAUCGUUAUAACUCAACAACAAAGGAGCUAAAAGACCUUGCCCAAUCUCUUCUACUUUCCACAUUUCACUCUUUAAAAUUCUUUGCCACUCAUUUACUGUAAUUUUAGAGCGCAAGAGAUUCCCUAUUACCUUUGCAGCAAGAGGCAGGCCUUUGCACUUCAGUGCAAUUUUUCGCCCAAUUGGUUCUAAUUUUUCACAAUCUUCGAAAGAGCGACUGGAAAAUGCCAACCGCUUGAACAACGACCAACAUUCCUCUUCAGCCAAUUGCUUAAUGAAGAUAAUAUUUGUUGAUCCCAUCAUACGUGCAACUGACUCAUUACGUGUGGUAACUAAAAUUUUACUUCCUUGGAGACCAUUCUUUAGACAAAGGAAGAAUGGUUCCCAUUUAUUUUAACUCCCAUCCCAUACAUCAUCUAAGACAAGAAAAAACUUUUUUCCUUCAAUUGAUCUAUGGAUAUGGCUCGUAAGAGAUUGGAAUUCGUUUAAACUAGGAGCUGACUCACCUAGACCUUCAAUGAUUGCUUUGACAACCCUAAUCUCCUCAAAAGUGUCUGAUACACACACCCAUAUAACUUUUUCAAAAUUUCUUUUCACCUCAUCAUUAUUAUAGGCUAGUUGUGCAAGAGUGGUUUUACCUAUACCCCCUAACCCAACUAGUGAGAUGACAUGAAGGCCUUUUUGUUGUUCACUACUUUCACACAACAACUUGCUUAAGAGCUCAUUUUUCUCAUCAACUCUACCGCAAACCUCUCCCUCAUCAAUCAAGGAGGUGGUUCGCACUCGCUCUGGUUUCUUAACAUUGUUGCUCACAUUCUCAACAAAUUUAAACGUAUCUUUUUGGGAGGCAAUAUCAUCUAGCUUUCCAUUGAUUUCCCUAAUCUUGACGGCAAUGUCAUGACGAAGACUAAGUUGUUUGAAACUACCAAAGCAGUUUGAUACAGCACAAAAGAAGGAGCGUACCUUCUUCUUAUGAGGAGCAAGAGCAAGAGCAUUGUCAUCAUCAACGCCCUCAAUCUGCAAUUUGAGCCUUGCAGUGGUCCACUCCUCCAACACGUCUUCCAUGUCGUAAGAUGCGUCUUUGAGCUGAUCCAGCCAAAAAGUAACAGCAUUGUCGCGCUGCAUUUGCCUUUUCUCUGCAUCUUCCAGCACAGCUCGAAUGGCUCGAAGAUUGCUGGUAAGCUUUUUCACUUCUUCUCGGACACCAGUCACAAGCCUCACGUGUUGUUUCACUUCAUCAGCCGCAACGGAGAUCAGCUGCUCCAGGAGAGAGGAAACGAUCGCAUCAACCAUUCUGACAAAGAAAACGAGAAUUUUGAUGAGUUAUUAGAUGUGCUUUUGUUGCGAAGAUAUGAAAGAAAAGGAGUUAUUGCGUUCUUUUAUACUGCAUAGAAAAAGCUUAUGCUUAUCCCCACCCCACACGUCAAUGAUUGUAGAAUGUUUAUUUUCCCUGAUUCUACUCCACUAGUUGUGAUGCGUAAUUAUAAAUAUUCUCAAGUUAUGUAUGAAAAUAGCACAAAUUUGGAUCUAGUAAUGAUUUUUAUGUACUUUUUCAUCAUCUUCUAAAAUACCAUCUCUGCAUGUGCACGAAAUAUGGAAUUGGGUGAAAAAAGUUAUGCUUAUCCCCACCCACACGUUAGUAAUUGUAGUAGCAUCUUUAAUUUCCAUGAUUCUACUCCACGGACGAACACAUUUUUUGUAGUAACAUCUUUAAAUUCCCACACGUUAGGAAUUUGGCACAUAUCUCAAACUCGUCGCAUCUUUAACGUAUGAAGUUGAUGAAUAAAUUCUUUUCUCAUGUCAAUUUAAAACUCCGAGAUUAUGUGCCAAAUUCCUAACGUGUGGGAAUUUUACCUCCUAAGUAAUCCGGCCCACUACCAAGUGCCAACUUUUUCUCUGUCGAGUUAAUGAUGUUGUUUUGUUUUCCUUGUUUUAAUUAAUGUUGCCGAGAGAAACAGAUCGAUGCAAAUGGCUAGCCAGGUUUUGCAGAAACCGUGAAUGGUCUUGCAUGUGACAUAAAGCUUAAUCAUGUAUAUAUGUGUGUUGACACUUGCCAGUUCAUUUUUGUUAUAAAGAUUAUUGAUACUCAUAAAUGUACUACUUACAAAUCAUAAAUUUUGAGUUUGACACUUUAGUUUCAUUUUGUAAUCCCUACACUCUUUAAAUAUUUGUAACAAUAUAUUUCAAACUUUAACUCAGACGUAAUGAAUGAAGGGGGAUCCUCUUCUUAUAUAAAUUUUUAUUUUUUAACGUUCAAGUUACAUUUGAUUACGUGUACUUAUUAUCUAGUUUUGACUAUCUAAUUACAUUUGAUUACGUGUACUUAUUAUAUAAUUUUUUUUUGAAAUGAUGGAUCUGGUGAGAUUUUUUACAUCUUGGAUCAGUAGGUCAAGAACAGGCAGGGCAGGGCCUUCUCUGAAGUCAAUCUUGUGAGCAACACCAGCUUUUUGGAUAAUUGGCAGCCCCAAUUCAUAAUUUUCUCUAUUGAUGUCCAUGGCCAAAAUCUGCAACCGAAGCUUAUUCUACUCUUAUUAAUCGAGAGAUAAUUUUACCUCUAACUAAUUUAAUUGGGAGGAAAAUCGAGAGAGAUAUCCACUUUGUCCUUAUUAAUUGAGAGAUAAUUUUACCCUUACCCAAUUUAAUUGGAAAGAAAAUCGAAUUCCAACAAUAACUAGGACUCGAAUCCAUGCACUUAAGCUAACUUUAUGCUUUUGGACGCAUGGUUAUAAUGUUCUUUAUUUAAAUCCUAACAAAUGGUGGGACUUGAACUUGUGCCUACAAACAUUGAGUGCUUAGGGGCUGCAAAAUUUCAUAACUUAAUUUUAGUUGAUGUGGCAUGUGCCCUAUCACAUCAAUGUAGAUAAUAAUAAUUAAUACAUUAACAAAAUGAAAAAUAUUAGUUUACAAAAUACAAAUCCAAAUUUUUUGUGUGAGAGGGGAUUUAAAAGGGAGAGACUAAACAAAUGUGGUGAAAAACGACAUGUAUUACUACAACUGAAAAUACGAAGUCUAGGCAAUUGAAAACAUCGGGUUUUUUAUUUAAAUAUCCCCAAUUUGUCCUUAAAUACCAAAUUUAUACCCUAUUAUAUACAUAUACCUCACGAAGAUAGGGAAAGUAAAAAAUAACCUAAAAAAAUCAGGAAUCCGCACAUUUCUUCCUCUUAGUUCAGAAAGAUGUCGAGUACGAAGUCGGGUAAGUCGAGAAUUUAGUCGAGCAAGAAUUGGAGAUAAGUAAGUCAAUUAGGAAGUUGAGUAAGCAUAUUAAGUGAGUCGAGUAUUAAGUGGUUGAGUAUUAAGUAAAAGUCAAGUAAAUUUUUUGAACAAGUCGAGUAAAAUUUAUGUAAUUUUUAAAGAGGUCGAGUAUUAAGUCGGGUAAGUACAUUGGGUCGAGUAUUAAUAUUUUUAAAGAAGUGAAGUCUGAUAAGUUGAGCAUUUAGUCGAGUAAGAAGUUAAGGCAAUUGAAUAAGUCGAGUAUCUAGUUGAGUACAAAGUCGGGUAAGUUGAGCAUUCAGUCGAAUAAGAAGUAAAGACAAUUGAAUAAGUCGAGUGUCUAGUCGAGUACGAAGUCGAGUAUGAAAUCUGGUAAGUUGAGCAUUCAGUCGAGUGAGAAGUGAAGGCAAUUGAAUAAGUCGAGUAUCUAGUCGAGAACGAAGUCGGGUAUGAAGUCUGGUAAGUUGAGCAUUUAGUCGAGUGAGAAGUGAAGACAAUUGAAUAAGUCGAGUAUCUAGUCGAGUACAAAGUCGGGUAUGAAGUAUGGUAAGUUGAGCAUUUAGUCGAGUAAGAAGUGAAGGCAAUUGAAUAAGUCGAAUAUCUAGUCGAGUACGAAGUCAGGUAUAAAGUAUGGUAAGUUGAGCAUUCAGUUGAGUAAGAAGUGAAAGUAAUUGAAUAAGUCGAGUAUCUAGUCGAGUAAUCAAACCAAUUUUCUCCAUAGAGUCUUCAAAGUCAACCUAAAAAUGAAAUGCAGGUGGAAAUGAAAAUUCUAUAAACUAAAUAAAAUAAAAUGCAAUUCUUGAGCUUGAGCUUGCUUUUACAUCAUCAUAAUAGUGAAUUUUGAUACAUCUUUACUUUUCUGUUCUUGUUUAUUCACAACAAGAUAUCAAUAAAAGAAGAUGGAAAUGAAAUUCUAUAAAAUAAAGCAAGUGAAUUACCAGAAGAACAUUUUAGCAAUCCUUUGGCUAAAAUUUUCAUUUUCUUAGCAUACUCUCCUGCCUGUGAAUUGCUAGUGUGGUUCUAACAUUUCCUCGAAUCCCUGGUGAACAUAAUUAAACUCGUAUGAAAUAAAACAAAGUGGGCUAAUGUACUACUAAAAACAAUUACACAAUUACUUUAAAGAAUUAGUGUCUGUUUGGUAUGGCUUAUUUAAGAGGCAUAAGUGCUUAUUUAAUCGUAUAAGCACUUUUUAAAAAUUUUUAUGGUGUUUGGUUAUUUUUUUUGCUUAAAUAAGGUAAUUUACCUCUACUAGCAAAAGUCCAAAAUUUGAGCUUUUGGGAGUAGAGGUUAUAGAGCUUUUCUAAAAAUAUAUAAUAUAAAAAAUAUCACACAGUUUAAUGGUUCAAAAGUGAUUUUUUUAUUGACAACCAAACACCCAAUGACUUUUUUGACCAAAAGCUUUAUUAGUAUAAGCUCUGCUGCUAUAAGCUCUACUGUUAUAAGCUCUAUUUAAUAAGCUGUACCAAACAGAGCCUUAAUGUCACAUAAAUUAUAUAUAAAAAAAUACGAUUAUCAUUAUACAAGAUAAAAUUGAUAAUUUAGUUUUCAACAUUACUGCAAAUGUAUCACAGACAUUUUGUCUCUCAGCGAGUUACACAUAACAAAUUUUCGUACAUUAAAAAAUAAAUUGCAUUGGGAUUUUCUAUGAUAUUGUAUGAAAUUUUACAAAAGAGCACAUAUUUUUUUAAAGUAAAUAAAUAUAGAAAUUUCAGCAGACUACACUUGUAUUUUUUUAUUAUUUAAUUUUUAGAAAACAAGUUCAACAGAUUUGAUCACUAGGAAGUUUUACAUAUUUAUACCAAGAUUGAUUCUAUAUAGAAUCUUAAUUCAAAAUAUAAUUAUUUUUAUUAAUUUCAUUGCAAGCAACAAUGAAGUAAAUCAGAGGAGGAGAAAUUACCAGCGAGUGAUAUCUUACGGCGACCAAUUGAUGUGGGGAAUGUGGGAUAUCUUAUGCCAGUCUUCUCCUUUCCCCUCUCUUAACCCCAAAUUGUCAAUGUCUGCAGUGUCGUUGUUUGAAGUAACAACAAAGUAAAAUACAGAGAAAUUACCGGUAGGUGAUAGUAAUUGCAACCAUUCGAGAAUUUACCACUCGAUGUGGGGAAUGUGAGAUAUCCUAUGCCAGUCUUCUCCUUUCCCCUCUCUAUAACGGUUUUCAAGAAGAGGACAUCCCUCAAUACUCAAUUCCUGCAGCGUCGUCGUCCGAAGAAGGUAAUCCGGCAGCACCUUUAAUUUGGGGCAAUACCAAAUCGUCAAGGAAGAAAGAUGUGGUAUGUCUGUUGUCCUGCGAUCUUCUAGAAUGGGCAGUUCUUCCAAAUUUUCACAAGCAUGAAUAACCAGUACCUGCAGUUCCGUCGUUUGAAGAAGGUAAUCCGGCAGCGCCUUUAAUUUGUUGCAAAAACCAACUUUUAAGGAAGAAAGAUGGGGCAUGAUGGAGAUGUUUUCCUUCCUCGUAAUCUUGUAAUUCCACUCUUCCAAUUCUUCCAAUGCUACAAUUUCGAGUGAUUUCAAUUUGGGGAAGGCAAUAACUGAUGAUGACGAUGAAGAUGAAGAUGGGCCAUCCUCACUGCUUUCUUCUAUUCCCAAAAACUCAUUACCCACUCUUUUUACACUUUUCAAGUGGAUGAUUACGAGUUUUUCCAGAGGUAAUUUUCCCAAAGGAGGCAAAUGCUCACAGUUAAAACACGAGGAAAGAUAUAAAUUCCUUAGAUUGGUUAGUGAAGUCAACCAUUUGGGAAAAAUGUUGCCUCGGUAGGAUUCAAUCUCUAAUUUCUCUAAAUUCACAGGCGGUUGUAAGGCUUCAAGAAGUUGUUUAUCUUUCUCAUUCUUCCUCCUCCCUUCUUCGCCUUCCCCAUCUACGACUCUACCAAACUCAAGAUGCAAACGAAGGAGGUUUUUCUUAUUGUCUCAUCUACAUGCGAUACAUUACUCAGCCCUUCUACUCUACAUUCACGAAGGAGUUGAAGAUUUUUCAGAGAUUCAAGCCUACACGUGCUGCCACCAUCAACACCUCCACCCACAACAAACUUUUCUAAUGUUCGAAGGCUGGUCAAUCUGGAAAUCCCUAUUGGCAUGUACUUCAACGAAUAAGUUUCACCAUUCAGUAAACUCCUCAUGUUCUUUAACUUCCCAAUCCUCGCAGGCAAUUCUCUAAGACUUGGGCACCGCCUAAUAUCUAGCUUUUGUAAAUUAUAUAAUUCACACAAAGUCUCAGGUAGUCUCUCUAUACAUAGUCCAGACAAAUUAAGAUAUUUUAAAUGUAUCAAUUUUCCAACAUUUUCUGGAAUUUCUGUAAUCAAAUUUGGAUCUGAACGCAAACGAAUGGACAAUUGGCUUAUAACUAAUGCCCUUAAACACGCCAAUUUUCUAAAUAACUCCCGAAGGAUGCUGCGAUUAAGACUCCUAUUGGAAUAACUUCUAUCAUAAAUUAAGAGGCUACGCAAUCUAUCAAAUUCAAAAAAGGACAUAGUAAAUGAAGCGCCUCCUUCAAACUUUAACCCUAAGUGACGGACUUUCUCACCAAAAGAGUUUAUGACUGAUUCCUUGGUACCAUUAAUUUCUAGCCACAAACAUUCUUGCCUACUUACAAAUUGAGCAAAAUCAUAUACUAUGUCAUGCAUCUUGCAACUCAUAAUAUCAUCAUCGUCAUAAUAUUUUUCAAACUCUUGAAAGAAAGAGCGUGUUGCUAAGAUGUUGAAAUACUCUUCUCCAAUCAUCUCCAUUUCUUCGUCUUCAUCUGCAUUAAGGUAACUUUGAGCCAUCCAUAGAUUAAUCAAUUCCCUUUUAUUCAUAUUGUAGUCUUUUGGAAAGACAGCACAAUAUGAGAAGCACCGUUUUACCAUAGAAUUAGAGGGCAAAUCGUUAUAACUCAACAACAAAGGAGCCAAAAUACCUUGCCCAAUCUCUUCUACUUUCCACAUUUCACUAUCUAAAAUUCUUUGCCACUCUUUUACUAUACUUUUAGAGCGCAAGAGAUUCCCUAUUACCUUUGCAGCAAGAGGCAGGCCUUUGCACUUACAUGCAAUUUUUCGCCAAAUUGGUUCUAAUUUUUCACAAUCCUCAAAGGACCUACGUAGAAAUGCUAUCUACUUAAACAGUAACCAACAUUCCCCUUCACCCAACUCCUUGACAGGGAUAAUAUUUAUUGAUCCCAACUGUAGUGCAACUGACUUAUCACGUGUGGUAAUCCGAAUUUUACUUUCAUGGUGGCCAUUCUUUAGACAAGAAAAGAAUGGGUCCCAUUCUUUAUAAUCUCCAUCCCACACAUCAUCUAAAACAAGAAAAAAUUUCUUCCCCGUAAUAUAUUCCUGAAUCUGUUUCAUAAGAGAUUCGAAUUCGCUUAAACCAGAAGCUGACACGCCUAGACCUUCAAUGAUUGCUUUGGCGACCCUAAUCUCCUCAAAAGUGUCUGAUACACACACCCAUAUAACUUUUUCAAAAUUUAUUUUCACCUCAUCAUUAUUAUAGGCCAGUUGUGCAAGAGUGGUUUUACCUAUACCCCCUAACCCAACUAGAGAGAUGACAUAAAGGCCUUGUUGUUGUUCACUACUUUCACACAACAACUUGCUUAAGAGCUCAUUUUUCUCAUCAACUCUACCGCAAACCUCUCCCUCAUCAAUCAAGGAGGUGGUUCGCACUCGCUCUGGUUUCUUAACAUUGUUGCUCACAUUCUCAACAAAUUUAAACGUAUCGUUUUGGGAGGCAAUAUCAUCUAGCUUUCCAUUGAUUUCCCUAAUCUUGACGGCAAUGUCAUGACGAAGACUAAGUUGUUUGAAACUACCAAAGCAGUUUGAUACAGCACAAAAGAAGGAGCGUACCUUCUUCUUAUGAGGAGCAAGAGCAAGAGCAUUGUCAUCAUCAACGCCCUCAAUCUGCAAUUUGAGCCUUGCAGUGGUCCACUCCUCCAACACGUCUUCCAUGUCGUAAGAUGCAUCUUUGAGCUGAUCCAGCCAAAAAGUAACAGCAUUGUCGCGCUGCAUUUGCCUUUUCUCUGAAUCUUCCAGCACAGCUCGAAUGGCUCGAAGAUUGCUGGCAAGCUUUUUCACUUCUUCUCCGAAACCAGUCACAAGCCUCACGUGUUGUUUCACUUCAUCAGCCGCAACGGAGAUCAGCUGCUCCAGGAGAGAGGAAACGAUCGCAUAAACCAUUCUGACAAAGAAAACGAGAAUUUUGAUGAGUUAUUAGAUGUGCUUUUGUUGCGAAGAUAUGAAAGAAAAGGAGUUAUUGCAUUCUUUUAUACUGCAUAGAAAAUGUUUAUGCUUAUCCCCACCCCACACGUCAAUGAUUGUAGAAUGUUUAAUUUCCCACACGUUAGGAAUUUGGGACAUAAUAAUAAAUAUUCUCAAAUUUGUCGCAUCUUUAACGUAUGAGCACGUGUUUUGUCUAUGUCACUUUUUUUCUAUCUUACUGCAAUAUCAGGUAGAGGAAUUCGAUCAGUUUCCCCAACAGAUGGGAAACGAUGUCAUCAGCCAAUUGAUGUUGGAUUAAAUGCUAAAUGUUACGAUUGCUUUUGUUGCGAAAAUGCUCAAAGAAAAGUGGCUUUUGUGUAUUCUGUGAGAAUGCUCAUUCAAGCAUUUUUGCAUUCUUCUUAUACUACGUGAGGUAUUUAAUUUUUACCCUUGAGUCAAUGUCAAUGUGAAAGCUUUUAUGCUGCAAAUUAAAGAAAUCCCAGACCAAUAAUUGUACAACAUCUGCCCUGUCUCUCUGAUUCAUAAUAAUUAUGCAGACUACUCAGCAUCGGCACUUGUAAAAUUUCUUACAUUAUAAGUAACGAAAUAUUUGUAAACUACCACAAAAAGCUUGGAGCAAUCUACUGAUGAACCUUCUGAAGUUACAUAAAAUAGAAUAAUCUUAGUGUUGGAACAAUUUUAAAAUAAAUGAUGUCUCAUUAUAAAGACAUAUCUAAUUAAUAUAGAAGAGUAAUCUUUUGAUAUUUAAUAAAUAUCAUACUAUGGUCUAUGACUUAGCUCAUACUACAAAGAAAAUAUGUGAAAGAUAAUUAAGGAAUAAAGCUUUCAACAACGAUUUAUAAAAUUGCUUUUGAUAAAACUGUUCUGAUGAAAUGAAAUUAUGUGAAAUUACUAAGAAUUUAAUUAGCCUCUCAAAAAGGUUCAUUGAUUGCUUGACUUCUCAAGUUUAAAAUUCGAAUGUCAAAACAGAUAAAACGUUAAAAAAUUAUUUUGAGUUUUAUCCACCCGUUUACCAUUUUAAUACAUAAAACUCUCCUAUUGCUUUAAAGUAUCAUUUUUUGUUUUAAACAAAAAAUGACACUUUAGUAUCAUAUGUUUGCAAGAUAUUCGGCCAUGAGUGUUGACGGAAAUUUCUUCAUCCUUGAGCGGAAAAUAAAAAGAAAAACAUAGUUCGCAAUUUUAGUAGCGAAACCAAUAUUUUGAUCCAUAUGGGGUAAAUCUUCAGGAGGCCCAACUUCAAACUUAAAAUGUUAGCUGAGGGUUUAAUUUUAGACUGUUUUUCUAUUUAUAGUUAUUAUAUAGUUGUUAGGAAUUUCGAAAUUUUAGAAUUUUGCUUGUAGCUACAGGCUGCAGCGAUUUUAUUUGGCGACUUUGAUUCAUAAUUGAAGUACUGUUGCAAGUAAAAACUAAAAAAAUAAUUAACAAAAUAAAAAUCAAAGACUUAGGCCCAAGUUUUUAUCAAAAUUUUAAUAAAAGGCUAUUUGUCACAUCGUCAUAAUGGAAAAAUAAUUAAUACAAUAAACAAAUCGAGUUACUUGAUUUUAUUUUAAUAAUAUAUAAAUAAAAUUUUUAUUAUAUGUAUAAAUUUUAUAUAUCAAGUUCUUAGGGGUCAAAUCAGUUUUUUUAUACCUAAUUUUUAAUAUUUCACUUCGAAACCUCAAAAUUUUUCAAAGCUUGUAGGGUCAUGAUCCUCACUAGGAGUGGGCAAAUUUGUGUUCAUAUUAACUUAAUCGGGUUUUAGGUUGAUUGGGUUAGAAUAUUCAGAUUGGAUUGUAUCAAAUCAAAAAUUCAAGUUUAGUUUGGAUUGCAUCAGGUUAUAAUUAUAUGGGGAUCAAGUUGGAGUUGGAUUAGCCAACUUGGAUUAAAAUCAAAUUUGGUCAGCUAGGAUGGAUUCAGAUAAUGUUGGGAUUAGGGGUGUUUUUGAGCCUAUUUUGUUUAUUUUCAGUUUUUUUUUAAAUUAUUUUAGUUCUUGAAGAUGGUUUUAUUGUAAUUAUCUCAUUUGAAUUUGUUUUUACCAAUUUUCAACCAAAAAAAAUGAAAACUACUACUAUAAAAUCAAAUGAAUAAAAAUUGAAAUGAACUACUACUAUUAGAUUGGAUCGGAUCCUCAUCUCUUGGCCUUCUUAUACAAUAAGGUAACUUUGAGCCAUCUAUAGUGUAGUUUUCAUUUUUUUUAUUGGUCAUUUAUAUUGUAAGAAUUUCCCUAUUAAUAUUGUUCCCAAUCUCUUCUACCUUCUACAUAUCACUAUCUAAAAUUCUUUUCCAUUCUUCUGUUGGUCAUUUAUAUUGUAAGAAUUUCCCUAUUGCCUUUGCAAUAAGAGGCAGGCCUUGCAUGCAAUUUUUUUUAUCAUUUGGUCACCAUCCUUAAAAAAUUGACCAAAAAAUGCUACUUGCUUAAACAAUGACCAACAUUCUUCUUCAGUUAAUUCCUUAAUAAAAAUAAUAUUUGUUAAUCUCAUCAUGCUUGCUAUUAUCUAAUGAUGUGUAGUAAUCAAAAAAUUGACUACUGUAGAGACCAUUCUUUAAACAAUAGAAGAAUGGUUCCCAUUGAUUGUAACUUCCAUCCCACACGUCAUCUAGGACAAGAAAAAAAAAAAUCUUUCCCUCAUUAGAUUUAUCAAUAUGGUUUACAAGAGAUAACCUAAUAUUUGUCUGUUGCCAUUCUUGCAUUAUAUGCAUACUCCAUGACUUACAAGAUUGCUUCUUUGACCAUCUAUCUGAUAACCUCCAAUGGCAAAGCUAGCAUCAUUUGUUUGGGUGGGCUAGAUUUAAAAAAAAUGAAAUUUACUUCUCAAAAAAUUUGUUUUAUAUAAAUGAAAUUAAGCACACUACAUAAGCAAAAAUUUAACCAUAAAACUAUAAAAAUACAAUGUAAAUAAGAAAAACAAUAUUGACGAAGAUGUGUCCUACGGUUCUUCAAAAAAGAAAAUUCAUCUACUAUCGCAUAUGAGUCAAUAUUGUCUGCAAUUUCUCUUUCCAUGUAAAUAACCAUACAAUCUGAAAGAAACUCAUUCUCCAUCUUGUUUCAAUGUGUUGUCUUAAUCAGUUUCAUGGCAGAAAAUGCUCUCAACUGUUGUUGCUGUUGAAACAAGAAGGGUUAACACUAAAUGAUUAACACUAAACAAGAAGGGUUAACAAGAAGGGUUAAUCUAUCCAACAAGAAAUAAAUCUAUGACUUUCUAGUCUCAACCAAUCUUCGACACAGUUUAGAAAGGGAAGUAAUAUUCUGAAACUCUUGAAGAGAGUGUAUAUCUAUCUCAAAGCACUCUAAUUGUCUUCUCAAAGCCUGUAACUCAAUCUUAGUGAAUCUUUAGGAUAAAAUCUUUCAGCAAGGCUGUAAAUAUCUUCAAUUUUAAAUGAUUUAAAUGCAUCAAUAGGAUUUAAAGCUGAACUAAGAGUGAGGAGUUCCAAAGUCUGUUAAGCAAAUCUAUUAUUCAACUCCAUCAAUUGAAAAUCUAUCACAGCAUUAAAUAUAUCAUAAUGAUAAUAAUGCUCAACUGUAAUAUAAUUAUUCUGCUGACAAGAACAUCCUCUGCCUUUCAUAUGGCGAGCUUUCAUAUCAGGCAUAUCUAUCUCAUUCUUUUCAUAAAAUAGAACUACGUUCUCAAUAAAAGUUUUCCAACCAUUGUCUCGCAGCCUUUGAAGAAGUUUUUUCGUAGUUGAGACUAAGUGCACAACAUUUAGAAUAUCUUGAGAUUUAACUUGUAAUGCUUGACAAAGUAAAUCACUCACCCCCAAAACUUUAUUUAAUAAAUGCAAAAUGAACACAAAUUUAAAAGAUGUCAUUGAUUCACAUGCACCUUUAGCCUCUCCACAUAUACUAUUGUUAGGUCCACACUCGACCAACUUCUCAAGAACUUUACGAACAACACUAAACAAAUCAAGCAACCUACUGAUAGAAUGGAAAUGAGAGCUUCACCAAGUAGCUCCAGGCCGUUGCAAAGUAUGAAUUUGAUUGGCCCCUGUACCAGUUUGAACUUCUCCUGAAGCUAUCAAAUCUAUUAUUUCUGCUUCCCAAACAAAUUUUAACUCAGAAAGUCGUUUAGCAGAUGAAGUCAGAACAUUUACAAUUGAACCCAAUGCUGAAAAGAAAAGCCAUACAUCUGGCACAUCAUUAGAUGCUGCAACUAAAGCAAGUAGUUGAUGUGCAAAACAGUGUAUAUUAUAUGCAUAUGGGCAAUCUUUCAAAAAUAAUGCUUGUAAUCCAUUCCAUGCAUCCCGCAUGUUACUAGCACCAUCAUACCCUUGCCCUCGGAUAUUUUCAACUAAAAGAUCAUAUCGUGCAAGAACAUUACAUAUUUCUUUUUUCAAUGUUACUGUUGUAGUUUCCAUGACAUUGACAACUUCAAAAAAACGUUCUCGAAUAUACCCAUCACAAUCAACAUACCUUAAAAUAAUAGCCAUUUGCUCUUUAUCAGAUUCCUCAAGUGCUUCGUCUACUAAAAUACAAAACUUACCAUCUCCAAUUUCCUUGCUUAUCUUGUUUUCGCACUUUGUUUGCAAGAAUAUUUAAAAGCUCUUUUUGAAUGUCAGACGAUGUAUACUUAGCAUACGAUGGAGCAUUUUCCAAGACAACUUGAGCAAUUUCUUUACUACACUCCGCUGAAUGCUUUAUCAACUCUAUGAAAUUUCCCCGAUUUCUUGAAUCAACUGGUUCAUCAUGACCUCUAAAAGCACAUGCUUGCUCUGCUAACCAUUUAACUGCAAUAAUUGAGGUCUUCAAUCGUAGCCUAUUCUCCAAAAGUUGUUGUGAAGUUUGGGCAUUAAUUAAUCUAUCAAUGUGUUGAAUUGGGUUCCUCAAACAACCCCAACUCUGCAUAUUCUUAUUAUGAUGAGAAGAUGGACCUCCUUCAUGCUGUAAAAAGGGACAUUUUUUUCCAUUGUUGACUCUCUUCCAACUAGAAAAUCCUUCAAUAACAAAUUUUGGGUUGUUUGAUGGAAUUUCAUCAAAAAGAAAGCAUGGAAAACAAAAUGCACGAUCUUUUACCUCAGAGUACUCAAGCCAUGGAAAUUUUUUAAACCAGUGACAGUGAAACCUACGUUCUUGCAUGCCAUCAUUAGUUAGUGGAUAAUCUCGUAGUUUAGGCUGAUAAGGUCCCAUUUUGAUGUACUCCCUUCUAAUAUCAUCACAUUGAUUUACUGAAUACGUCCCUAUUUGAUGACGUAAUCCAGGAUCACGCUCCAGAUAAGUAUUUCUAGUUUCUUCAACUUCAACCCUUUGAAACUUGGAAGUAUGUUGCUCACUGGAAUCUUGAGCAUUAACUUGACAUGGAGAUAAAGACUUGGUGGAUGAUUGAUUUUCACCUACUCUCUUAAAAAAAGAAAGUAGAGUUUUUCUUGGUUUAUUUAACAUUGAAUUUGUAAUAAAAUACAUUAAAAAUUUAGUAUUUAUUUUAUAAAAAAUUUGACAAAAUCGCAAGUUAAAAGCUAAUUAAAAAAGUCAGCAUUCAAAUUAAUUAUUUUACUAUUUUAUUCACUCAUUCUUUCAUGCCAUCAUUAUUUUAUAAUUACAAGAAGAUGAAUCAACACCUUUCACAGUUCCACUUUAUAUGCUAUCAUCACCGUUUUUCACAUUCUAUUAUUUUAUAAUUUUAAAAAGAUGAAUCACAGUUCACAAAAUCAACAACUUCCAGUCUUCCACAAUUCCACUUCGUGUGCCAACCAUCAUUAUCAUAAAAUCAUAUUAUAUUCUGUAAACUAAAGUUUAAAAGGCAAAGUGCUUUGUACCAAGGGCCGCAUCAAGAGACUGGGCAUUCGGCGUCGGCUCGGCAGUGAGAGAUUCAACCUAUGGGUGCGGGCCUUGCGGCAGUGGUUCGGCGUCACUCAUGAGGCAGCGGCUGGGCGUCAAUUCGAGCGCAGGAGACUGGGUAUUCAGCAGCGGUAAGAGACUUGAGCAAUUGAAUUUUGGUAAAUUUCAAAUUCGGAUUUAGUUAGAUACUGGUGAGUUUUAUGAAUUGUGAUUUAGGGAAAUAAAAGAUUCCUAUAAUUAUUGGGUUUGUUUUUAUUUUUCUAUAAAUACUAAUAAAAGUAAAUUUAUAAAUUAUAAAUAUUUUUUUUUCAAAAAGCUUACCCAGGCUGCAGCCCGGGUUAGCCUUCCCUAAGCUUUGCUCUGCCUCCACAGUCAUUGUCUACUUCCCUUGAAUGUCUUCGGGAUGGUUGUUCCUUUAUGUGGUCACAUCAUGAUAACAAGCAAACUUACUCUAAUACCAGCUGGCGAUGAGGAAACAUUAAAAGGCUAUUAGAUAAUAGAAACUAGGUUUUUAAAUAAUAAGUUAUAUUGCGAAUAAUUUGAACAAACAAAAUUGGGGUAUUGAACCACUUUUAUAGAAGCAUAAAUAUUAGGAAUUUACCAAAAUAGGCAAAUCCAAAAUAUUAUAUGAUAAUAAAAUCCUUCUAAUCUAAAUAAGAAAAGGAAAACAAAUGGAACUCAAAUCCAAUAUCUAGAAAAAAAGGAUAAAAAUCCUAAAAGAAUCACGACAAAUUAAAAAAAUAUCUUAAAACUGAAAAACAACAAAGAAAGAAGUGAAAUUUUUUGCUCAACCGCAGGGCAUGAUAGCAUAGACUGUUCUGCAUUUGGUUCAACUUAUUGCAAGCUUUGAAACGAUAUAUUAUACAUUCAAAAUGGAACGGAUAUCUGUAUCCUAAGUUAUGACCUUCGGAAGAUACCCUACUCAUUCUAUGCAACCAUCCUACGUCAACUUGCCUUUGCUAUGUAUCUUCGAGCAACUUGAAUGGCUUGAAGAUUUGUGGUAAGCUUUUUCACUUCUUGUUGGAGAAUAGUCACAAACCUCACCUGUUGUUUCACUUAUUCAUAAGCAGCAAAGGAGUUCAGUUGCCCAAGAAGAAGGGAAGCGAUCGCAUCCGCCAUUCUGACAAGGAAAAGGAGAAAUAAUUUGAUAAGAUGUUAAGUGUGCUUUUGUUAAGAAAAUACCAAAUCAAAGGAGCAGUUGCAUUCUUCUUACAUUGCAUGAAAAAAGUUAAUAGUUAUCCUCCCCCACCCCACACAUCCAUAAUUUUACCAUCUUUAAUUUUUAUGAUUCUACUCCACAACUAUGGUACAUAAUUGUAAAUAUUCUAAAAUUAAUUUGUACUGGUCGGGCCAGUGCCAUGUAAAACAAAAACAAAAACUCAAAAGAAAAAAAAAAGAAGAAAACAAAAGUUGUAAAAAGCAUGCCUCACGGAUAAUUUACUUAUAGUUAAAUUUCGUCCCACACCCUUAUUAGAUUGAAAUACUUUAAUUUACCCUCCAAAAGUAUAAAAACUUCAUUUUACCUGCCAAAUGCCAUUAUUUUUAAUAGUUAACUAAUGUUGACUUGAAAAAUACGAGAAUGCCCCUGACCCUAACUAAUUAACAGUUCAUUGAGUUAACAAGAAUAAUUUUAUUUUGCCCCUUAAGGUCUAUUAUAUUUCAAGUUAGACUACAAAAAAAAUUAUUAAUAAAAACUCCCUAUAGAAAAAAAAAAGUAAAAAAACCAUUAAAAGAUUAAUUUAACUUUUACUUAUAUCUUAAUCUAUAAAACAAGUAUGAUAAUCACAAAUUUAUGUUAUGAUAUCACCACAAUGAAAAUUUAAAAAAUAAUUUUGACCCUUCUCUUGAAUUUAAAUAUCUUAGGAAUAUCAAUAUUUAAUUAAUUAGUUGACUUUUACCAUUCAAAAUACCAUUUUACCUUUCAAAGUAUCUAAAAGACAAAUUAACGCACAAAAUUUAUUGACAUUCCAUUAAUAAUGUAAUUUGACGGGUUAAAAAUUAAAAAAAUAUAUAAAAUUUAGAGAAAUUCAAAGACUGAAGCCUUAACCCCUACUUAUAAUCCCAAAUUUUUAUCAGUUUCUUUCUUAUUAAUAUCAUUUGCUAUAAUUUUAAUCUUAUUUUUUUUAAUAAUAAUUCUUUUUAUUGAAAGCCAUUUUAGUAUUUUUUUUCCCCAAACAUCAAACUAAGGGGUAAAAUAGUAAAAUAAUUCAUAAUUUAUAAUAUUUCAGUAUAUCCAAUAUAUAUCAUUUUCAUAGAAUAAUAUUUAUCAUUUUUUUAGUAUUCUUAGGAAUCUUGAAUAGUAACACCUUUUUUUUUUUGGUGUGGACCAUGAAGUAUUCUGGGGAGAGCCCCAACUGUGGAAGGCACCUUUAAGCCCGUACUACAACCCAGACUAACAAUCCCCGCUCAAACCGGGAGACACAGGUUCUCCCAACAAAUGCGACUUCCCUGCGACUAAUAGUAACUCCUUUUUAAUUUAUGAUUAAAAUGUUAAAAAACAAAAAAGUUAUAAUCUUUUAAAAUUUGAAACGAGUUAUUGCAAAAUAAUAAUAAUAAUAAUAAUAAUUUUAUUCCUUAGUUGAGCUUUGAAAUAUAAUAAAUUACCAACAAUGGCAUCCACUACAAUUUAUCCUUAAUUAAAAUUUAAAAUUGCAAUCCAUUUUUUUGUUUUCCAAAUUAUUUUUUCUUUUAUUCUUGGUCUUCUUUAGUUUCCUUAUUUCUUUGUCUUGUACUCUUUUUUUUUUUUUAACCUCUGUUCCAUAUUUGAGGCUUUAUCUUAAUUCUUUGCAUUAAUUCUAUCAAGACUAUCCUUGAUAAUUCUAUUACGGUACAACUCAAAUUUCUACCAUCACAUAAUAUUAGAGAUAUAUAUUAUAUUCUUAUUAAUCAGAAGAUAAUUUUACUCCUAUCCAGUUUAAUUAAGAGGAAAAUCGAGAGAAAUAUCUACUUUAUUCUUGUUAAUAAAGAAAUAAUUUUAUCCCUAUCUAAUUUAAUUGAAAAGAAAAUUGACAAUAACCUAUGCACUCAAGCCAACUUUAAGUGCUUGGAUGCAUGGGUUGUAAUGUUUUUUAUUUAAAGGCUCAGGCUAGAACCAACUAAUAUCAGCCGUGUGAUUUUAAUCACUCAAUCCAACCGUCACGAUUACACUCAGUGGAUAAACAUUCCACAUAGUCCACAAACAUGAAGAGUAAAGGAUUGAUUGCAUAUGUAUCCUCUCAAGUUCUCAAGAACUUUUUCUUUAAAACACACUUUUAAAGCUAAUCUGCAGAUCUCUCCGAAAACUUUUCCUCUUCUAACUCCUCAUCUCUUCCUCACCAAAUCUUCGGAGGCAAAAAUCUUUCUUGCCUUCUCCAGUGGAUUCUUGAUUUCUUUUUUUCUUUUUUUUUUUCGGUUGCACCCACCUCUUCCUUAUGAUUUGAGGAUGUGUGUCUUGUUCUGGCCUUCUUCACCUUAAGGUGGUUGUUCUAUUUCAAUUUUCUCCUCCUUUGGUUUUGAGGAUGGCUGCUAUGCGUCCAUUCAGAUCUUGAUCUGUGAUGGUAAUAAUGUACCAGUUAUAGUGAUAAUUUUGGUUUAAUUUCUAUUUUCCAGUACAUAACCCUUCAACAUCUCUGUCAAAUGCAAUGAACCGAUCACAACCAUUCAUAAUUAACCCAAAAAAAAAAAAAAAAAAACACAGAGAACAAUCACAACGACGAUUUGUUUUGAUCAUCCCUGCUUUUUCUUAGCAUAGCUCUUGGAAUGAAAAUUAAUAAAAAGUGUCAAAAGGGAAGCAUUAAACACAGCAUUGAAGCACCAACCCAAGAUCCCAGAGCAUCCAAAUCCCGCAAAAUGAUAAUACAGCAUCAAAACUGAAACAACAAAACUAAACACGAACUGAACAAUCUGACAGUCAGUGACCAAUCUCUUCCACUUUGGCCGCAACCCCAUCACACACAAUAGAUAGUACCCGUACAUGAUCACGUGCACACUUGCAUUGGUGACAAGUGCGAUAGGAAACAAAGACUGCUUCGUCUGUAACCAAAGGUAGCACAUUACGACGACGGUUGCGUGGUGGUAGACGUGGAGGAACGUGAGCCGUUCGAUGGAGUUUGACAAAAUGAUCAAAAGGGUGUCUAGGAAUUCGAGUAUUUUGGAGAGGUAGAAGAUGUAAGCGUAGAAGAAGAGGGGACCGGAGGGAGAGAUGGUGGGGGGGAAACAGAGGGUGUGACGGAGGUCGGGUGAAUGGAGGACGAUGGAGAGAGUGCAACCAACGGCCAUGACGAGGGAGAGGAGGAGGAGGGUGAGGUUAUGGACGGCUGUGAUGGGCUUGAGGAUGUGGGGUCCAAUGAGAGGUGAUGAUGAUGGUGAUGUUGGCGUUAAUUUGUGGUAGAGUAUGAAUGUGAGGGAGAGGUAAGUGAGGAUGGAGAGAAUGAGGAAGUGUGGGGAGGAAGCUGGGGUUUGGUUUUGAGUCCAUGUGAAGUUGAGGAUUUGGGGGUGGUUUACAAGCCAAUAUUGGAGUGUUGAGGUGAUUGAAUUUGAAGCCAUGGCUGGUUUUUUGGAGGAGGAAAGAUUUGGAAGAGAUGAUGUUGAGAGGAGUGGGGGAGUUUAGAAAGUUUGGGAUAAUGUGAGGGGUAUUUUGGGCAUAUAAUGUUGUCUGAGCUUAAAUUUUUGUUAAAAAGAAAUAAUAAUAAUAAUAAAUUCUUUUCUCAUGUCAAUUUAAAACUCCGAGUGUGUUUCCAACAAUUGCUUUUCUUUUUCUAUUUUGGGAUUUUGAAUCAUUUUUUUUUCAAUUCAAUAAUGGCCUCUUCAAUUAUAAAAUAUGGUCAAAGGGGAUGGGGUGUAGUGUCUAGGCCUCCGCGACAACGGCAUCUUUGAACGUGGGUUUCAUCAGUUUUUUUUUUUUUGGCUAUUUCUGCUCAAAUCAAACUUGUGGAUUUCGUGCACUCAACGUGGAACCCUUUUGAAUGGACGCAAUGGUUUUGGUGGGAUCACACAAUCCGAAGAAGCAUGGAACUGGGACCAAUUUGUUGACAAAAAUUUAGGCAUAAAAUUUACAAAUCGAAGUCAGAGUAAGAUUUAAGUAAAAUUGAGUAACAUCUUGCACAUCGAGUAAGGAUUUCUACAAUCGGGCUAGAAAGUGCAACUAAAAUUUGGUAAGAGUUUCAUAGAGCAUAAUUUUUAAGAUACAACGUUAAGAGUAUUUAGUAGACACUUAUAAUAUUACUUGAAUUGAUUUAAUCUCAUACUCUAAUAUAAAAAAUUUAAAAUAUACUCUUAUAAUAUUACUUGAAUUGAUUUAAUCUCAUACUCUAAUAUAAAAAAAUUUAAAAUUUCUUUACUAAUUUUAUUGAAAGUAUUAUUUGACAAUCCUAUUUAUUACAUAAUAUCAACGUUUAUAUUAUAAUUACCGCUAAUACUAAAAGCUGAUCUCGUAAUUAAAAGCUAAACAAAAACUCGAGUACAAUCUAGUAAUUAAAAGCGCUAUGGUUUUUUGGCAUUACAAGAUGAUUCAAACUUGAACUUGCCAUCAAAAGUGUAUCAAAACAAUCACAGAGACACUCUGUUUGACAAAUCUGCAGUAGAAUUUGCACAAUUUAACUGGGUUACAGAGAGUGAAUAAGAUUCCAAAGCAACAGGCCAUUAUUAUUAAGAAAACAAUUCAUCGCUAGAACAAAAUUAACUUUUCUAACUUACUAGAAUUUAACUGGAGAAAAAUUGGAAUAUACGAAGUUGUAUCACAUAUAGUAUUUAGACAUCAAGAAAAGAAUCCCUCUAUCAGUGAACUAUACUUGCCAGGAAACACGGUGAAAUACCACCACCUCCCUACUAGUUCUUAGAUGUCUCAAAAGAGUUUGAUGACGACUUCCGUGUUGUAUCUCUUCGACAGGCAGCAAAAUUGGGCUAUUGACUAGAUUAACUCCCCAGAAAUUUAUGCGGUCACCUUCUUCCGGACUAUCCUCUUUCUUCGCACUUUAGGAGCCCUUGCUUCCCCUUCAACAGAGUCGACAUUCCCUUGUUUGAUGCCAAGGAGCCCAAGCCCAGAGACAAUGGCAUUCUUUGAUAUCAACCACUUUGGGGACUUUUGAGUUGAGCCAUUGACAUCCUGAGACGGCCUGUUGUAAGCCUUCUUCAAAAGGUCAUCUGACUGAAGUAGCGGAUCCGCUUCCACUCCUAACCAAGCAAGCCUUGAUCUUUCUCCUAAUUGGACAUUAAGAACCCUGCAUGGAAUCCAUUUGAGAAGUUGAACAAUAGACAAAGUCCAACACAUAUAGGCAGUAAAGAAUAAUUUGGACAACAAUUACUGAUUGUUUACGCACAGGGCUGAACAAAUGGGAAUAUUAAGGCACAUAAAAAUUGGAACCAUAUUCACCACUUGUACUUCCUUAGAGAAUUAUCUCAGAGUUCUGUUAAUUUAAAACCAUUCUUACACAUUUAACUGUAAAACUAGAGAAAUUGUACUUCUGUAGCGAAGUCUCACUAUUGUUAAGGAUUUGGACUUGGAGAGAAUGCAAGUUGAUUAAGCAAAGAAAAAUUGAAAUAAUAAUUGGUGAUAGAUCUAACACACUUCAAUAGAAACCACACUAACAUCAUAUCAGGCAAAUAAACAGAUUCCCCAGUCAAAAGUUUAACAAACAAAACAUUAAAACAAUAGUAAUUUGGUCCGACCAGAAUAGUCUAUCAAUGUAUAUAGAGAUGUAGAUCAAUAAACAAAUACGUAAAAGAGAGAGAGGGAGAGACCUCAAAGCAGUGCUUAAGAACAGUGCUACUCCAAUAACAUCAAAAUGGUUGAUGACCGCUCUAUCAAAUCCACACAAUAGCUGGUAUCUCAUGUUUGCACAUAGUCCAAGGAAAGCACCAUAACCAAGCGCAUUAGUACUCACAGAUGGGAUUGUCACAGAUAACCUGUCAGACAUUAAAGGUGGCCCAAAUUUAACAAAUGUUAAACUAGCUUAGACAGUAAACAGAACAAUUUUCUAAGUUUUCUUUAUUUGUGAUGAAUAAGUGAACGAGGAAUGAAAAGGAAGUUUUACAACCAUGUUUACCUGUCCUUUUUACCAGCAAGAUAGUUUGACAAAGAGCCUUGCACUGCUCCUGCAGUUAAUCCCACCAUACACAACUCUGCAGCCUUGUAAAAAAGGGAAUGGAUUCUCUUUUGCAAGUCAAAUUCUCGAAAUGGGCAACUCCGUUCUAAUAUAUUGUUUGGGAACGACAAGGAGCAAACAUUUAUUAGCUUAAUAUAUAAAAUAAAAAUAAAAAGCAAGUUCCUUUGUUGUGAAAAGAAAAAUAAAAACACGCCUAUCCUUACGAUUCUCCAGCUCCCACCAAACAGUGCAACCAAUUAUGGGAGCCUGCUCUACCAGAAGUUUAUACAAAAAAGCUGGAUCUGCCAGCAUCCUGGGGCAACAGCAGUUAAUACAUAAGAAAUCUGAAAAGAGGCCCAACAUUUUACAACCAAUCAAAAAUCACUGAACCAUUGGAAAGUGAUUUACGUAUAAUUUUUUUUCCAAACUUUGUCCAAAAUGAUAGAAUGAGAGAGGAUGAGAUAGGAUGACACAAGAAACAAAUGUAAAUUGACCGUGUUGGAGAAAAAUCAGUUUUUUAUACAAACUUUUAGGGCCGAUCUCAUACAAUAUAUAGGAAUACGGAAUCUAGAAAUCGUACCUUGAAAAUCUGAGAAGAUGAACAAUCUUUGCUUUUUCCGCUGAAGUGAUUUAGGCUCUCAGAUCACGAUCUGUUACCACCACUCCUGUUAGAUCACGAUCCGUCACCACCACGCCUAUUAGAUCACGAUCCAUCACCACUGAUCUUAUAGACUAUGACUCAGGUUUGAUCCGCACUUGACGUGUGGACGCCUUUAUCACCACUAUAAGCAACUAGAGAGAAAAAUUUUCUCUCAAAAUUAGAGAGAAAAAGUCUUUUUCUCUAAUAUGUAUAAUGUGGCUGCUCUGUCUCUUUUGGGAGAAAAUAAACCUUUUUAUAUCUCUAUUUAGUGGAAACCCUAUGCUCCAUAUUUAUUUAUUUAUUAAUUCUAUUAAAUCCCAUUUGAUUUAAAUUAAAAAAUAAUUAAAACAAAAGUGACGUUACUUGUUUUUGUGUUCUAGGGGCCCGCCUUGUAAAAUAACACAAGGCCCCUUACACACAGGCAUAUUACACUCCCACUAAAUAAUUUAUUUAGGCUUUUAACUCAAAUAGCUAGUUAUCUUGCUUAUUAAUCCAGUAGCAGCGUGGUCAAUUAAACAAGCUAACCCGGGGAUUAUAUGGGUACAUACAAUAGUGGCUACAAUAAUUAGACCUGUAAUUAAACUAGUCCAAUUAUUUAAUUCCAAAUCUACUCCACUAAAAUAUUGGAAUUGACCUCCAUAAUUGUAUGCUAUCUAGGAUAGUGUACUCGAAUAAUAAUUCGACCUAUGCCACAUUGAUUUCUUUACUGCAUAAUCAUUUGUACCACAUCAUUAAUUAAAUCAAUAUCUCAACUGUCCAAUCGAUUUAAUUACAUCUUGUUCCUUGAUACUUACUGGUUUUCUCUAAUGAUCAUUUUCAAACAUACUAAAUAUGUUGACACACUCUGGCCAGAGAAUUCUAUGAUCAAGUGCCGAAAACCCAUCAAGAAUUCUAUAUUGUUAAUUUAUAACUUCAAUACUCAUAAUUACUCCCACCAAGAUACCGGGUAAUCUUAACCACAAGUGUGUGUCGUGCCCAUUGGUAACUCAAAUGGAAUAACAAUUACAAUCAUGAAAUCAUAACUAACUCAAGAUUAAGAUUACAGUAAAAUCAAUGCCUAUGAGAUUUAAUAAGUCUGACAGUCAUUUCAAGGUUAAUUAAAUCUCAUAUGUGAUCCAGCUCAAUGUAGUCAAACUACGUCAGUAAAUUCAUAUAUGAUUAAGACAAGCCAUUCAAUGAAUUUACUACAGUCUAAACAUAAAUAGAACACCCAACUCUAUUUAUCAACUGCGAACUAAAUUUAUUUAAUCAUAAGAUAACUUGUAUUUAUGUCUUCUGUGAAUCCAUAUGAUGAUCACAUAAAUACAUAUAAUAUGAUUAAACAGACCUUAUUCGAUAUAUAUUUAUGCAAUUGAAAAUAUCUUAAAUAUUUUAUUAAUCAAAAAAUAAAUUAAUAUACUUUAAAAGAGCAUAUAAUCCCAACAGACAGCAAGUAGAAAUAUACUUCUGUUAUAUUUGCAACAUCUUCUAGUGUCAAUUUCUUUUCCUUGAGCUCUGUUUCUGCGUGUGCUCAAAUGCAACGCGCAUGACACAAGAUAUAAUUAUCAACAUGAAUUUUUGCCGCCACAUGCAGCACUUGGAAAACUGUUUAUGGUCAUACAGAACUGGAAAAUAAAAAAUCAUUAACAGCGAGAGAAAUCAUUUUAAUCGCAACCAAACAUACACACUAUGAAAAUCUAAAAUUGAAUUUCUCCCAAUGAAUGUGCCUCUUCACAGCAAUUUCACAAGCUAAUCCCAGCAGCCUGCGUCAUGGAGUUUCUCCCAAUGCGUGAGCGAGCCUUGAAUAGUGGCUCAAACUAAAAUGAACUUAUUGUGGACAUUUGAAUUAAAAAUACAUGUAAAAGCAGUUUUCUCAAAGCAAGGUCAAGAUAAGAGAUUAACUUUGCUCCUUAUUUACAUUAAAAAUAACAAACAAUGAAAAACAGAGCUAGAGACGAACUUACCUGUGUGCUGAGACAGAGCUAGAGGGGAAUAUGGGAUAUCUUCUUAGAUUUGGUUUGAGAAACUCCAUCUUCUUCUGAAAGUUCUGAUAGUUCCCUUAACCCAGGCCAAUACAAUUGCAACAGAAACUGCAUGCUUUAAGCAGCAUCUGAUCAUCUCUUGUUAUUUCAAGACAAUAAUAACUUAAUUGCAACACUGUGUGCUUCAACCAUUAACCUUUUCAAUUUCAACACUUCUUUUGUCCCCCGCCCGAUGCCCUUUUAACAAUUCUAUGAAUCAGAUAAAUCAGCCUUCUUCACAAAACUAUGACAAACUUUUCACGGUGUUCCACACAUUCCGGGAUCCGUAUUGAUAACAAACAUUUGAUGAAGACCCUGCCAAUUAAAAUUUAGGUCACAUGUAACAUAAUUUCUUAUUUUUCUUUUGUACACAAAUGCAGACACUUAAGCAAAUUAAGAUUUCAUACCUAAAGCAAAUUAGGAUUCUUUUGACCCUGCAAGUUACAAUUUCACUCCCCAUGUAAUAGUAAAAAUUUGUACACAUAUUUAUAGCAAAUUAAUAUUUCAUACCUCACAAUAUUUAUCAUAACCAUCAAUCUUUAGAAACCACAUGCAGACUUGUUAAACUGUUUAUGGCGCAAAAUAACAGGGAAAUUAGAACAGAUUUUUAAGAAUGAGCGACUAAAUAUUUCAAUGGCAACUAAAAUUACACAUCUUGGAAAUCUGAAACUCAAGUACUCAGAAUGAAUGUGCCUCUUCACAACAAUUAAACAAGCUGGGAACUUUAGUGCAAAUGCUUUUUCAUAAUCUUCAAUUGCAUAAGUCAGUUAGAAUCAAUCUUUCUUAAUCUUUCAAUUCACAUAUGACAGCCUGAUAACACAAGGAAACACUAUUAGUGAAUUGUCAACUGCGACAAAUUUUGGGUAAAAAAUAUCAACUGUAGUUAUCUGCAUAACAUAUAGUGUCAACACCAAAUUCCUUCUUGAUCCGUGGAAGCAUUUCAGCCCACAGACGGUUUGCUUUGUCAAUAUAUAUCAAGCUUUGUAGCUUUUAAGAAAUUGCAGGUGAAAGACUUGGAAUUUUCGAUAGCAACUCAGGAUUCUAUAUUUAAACGAUGGUGUUUGAUGACUUGCUGAUACAAAAGACAUUGCCCCAAGCACUUUUUUACAGGAGCUAAAAUCAAGCCAGUCACUUCCAUUUGUUGCAGUUUUAAUGCAGAAAGAAAAAAAGGGGGGGGGGGAAUCUGCAAGAUAACACUUGUAGUACCGCAUGUUCGCAGAAGCAGAGUUAAAUAUGCUUAAUUUCUCACUCACUCCAAGAACUUUCAUUCUCCCAUAAUUCACUCAAAUGAAACUUUCAUUGGAAGGUCCAAUUAUUAAGGAUUUAGCAUCACUUCAUAUGCUCAACAAUUCAAAUUUAAGGAUGUUAUUUCACAAAAUGGAGGACUCUAUUUGGCUUGUGAACAAUCUUCCUCACCAUCAUCAUCAUUGUCGUACCAGUUGCACUGAACAAUCCUCAUUCUGACAUUUGCCCCAAUUAUCUGAUUACACAAGAAUCCGAAACAACUGUUAGAAAUUUUAAUCUUGAUAUAUAGCCAAAAUGGUGAAUAAGAUGAUGUACUUGAUAAUAAAAACUUGAUUUAAUAAAUAAUUAAGGGGCCGAUAACAAGCACAGAAUCUCAUCGUGUGGGGAAAGCCUUGACAACAGAAGAUGGUGCUUUCAUUCAAGCCGAUAACAAGCCACUAUAUAUGCAGUUAUCAUCUUCAAUUUGCUCAUCUUUGUCUACAGUAUUGCUUCUGCGUUAACUUAAUUAGCGUGCAAGCCACCUGAAAAUGGUUUUAAAUACUGAGAAAAAGUUUGAAUUCGAACAAGUUAAUCAAAUAU
This 26499-nucleotide long non-coding RNA is filed under the name Citrus maxima (pomelo). RNAcentral describes it as "long non-coding RNA (CMAX_LNC001275)". Lineage: Eukaryota; Viridiplantae; Streptophyta; Magnoliopsida; Sapindales; Rutaceae. The record is from RNAcentral.